AGGGAUAAACAUUUAUGGGUUUGGGAGGGGCUUGCGUCUGAUUAGGUAGUUGGCGGGGGUAACGGGCCACCAAGCCGAUGAUCAGUAGGGGUUCUGAGAGGACUUGGCCCCACAUGGGUACUGAGAUACGGACCCAACUCCUACGGGAGGCAGCAGUAGGGAAUAUUUGGGCAAUGGGCGCAAGCCUGACCCAGCCAUGCCGCGUGCAGGAUGAAGGCGCUCAGCGUCGUAAACUGCUUUUAUCUGGGAAGAAUAUUGGUUGUGCGCAGUCAAUUGACGGUACCAGAGGAAUAAGCACCGGCUAACUCCGUGCCAGCAGCCAGGGUAAUACGGAGGGUGCAAGCGUUGUCCGGAUUUAUUGGGUUUAAAGGGUGCGUAGGUGGGUGUUUAAGUCUGGUUUGAAAGCAAGCGGCUCAACCGUUUGAUGUGGCUGGAAACUGGGCAUCUUGAAUGGGUUAGCGGUAGCCGGAAUGGGUCAUGUAGCGGUGAA
This 490-nucleotide ribosomal RNA is filed under the name uncultured bacterium. RNAcentral's name for it is "bacterial SSU rRNA". It matches the Rfam family "Bacterial small subunit ribosomal RNA", at positions 197 to 685 of the family's 1533-position model. The record is from RNAcentral.